Molecule: ribosomal RNA, 466 nt
Filed under: uncultured bacterium
Lineage: Bacteria
Description: partial 16S ribosomal RNA
Rfam family: Bacterial small subunit ribosomal RNA
Source: RNAcentral
GACGAACGCUGGCGGCGUGCUUAACACAUGCAAGUCGAACGGAAAGGCCCUGCUUGCAGGGUACUCGAGUGGCGAACGGGUGAGUAACACGUGGGUGAUCUGCCCUGCACUUCGGGAUAAGCUUGGGAAACUGGGUCUAAUACCGGAUAGGAACCAUCUUUAGUGUGGUGGUUGGAAAGUUUUUUCGGUGUAGGAUGAGCUCGCGGCCUAUCAGCUUGUUGGUGGGGUAAUGGCCUACCAAGGCGGCGAGGGGUAGCCGGCCUGAGAGGGUGUACGGCCACAUUGGGACUGAGAUACGGCCCAGACUCCUACGGGAGGCAGCAGUGGGGAAUAUUGCACAAUGGGCGCAAGCCUGAUGCAGCGACGCCGCGUGGGGGAUGAAGGCCUUCGGGUUGUAAGCUCCUUUCGCUAGGGACGAAGCUUUGUUGUGACGGUACCUAGAUAAGAAGCACCGGCUAACUACGUG